UCCUCCUACGGGGCGCAGCAGUGAGGAAUAUUGGUCAAUGGGCGCGAGCCUGAACCAGCCAAGUCGCGUGAGGGAUGACGGUCCUACGGAUUGUAAACCUCUUUUGUCGGGGAGCAAAGGGCGCCACGUGUGGCGUUUUGCGAGUACCUGAAGAAAAAGCAUCGGCUAACUCCGUGCCAGCAGCCGCGGUAAUACGGAGGAUGCGAGCGUUAUCCGGAUUUAUUGGGUUUAAAGGGUGCGCAGGCGGAAUGUCAAGUCAGCGGUAAAAUUUCGGGGCUCAACCCCGUCGUGCCGUUGAAACUGGC
This 305-nucleotide ribosomal RNA is filed under the name uncultured bacterium. RNAcentral describes it as "bacterial SSU rRNA". It matches the Rfam family "Bacterial small subunit ribosomal RNA", at positions 334 to 637 of the family's 1533-position model. The record is from RNAcentral.